Molecule: ribosomal RNA, 657 nt
Filed under: Triticum aestivum (bread wheat)
Lineage: Eukaryota; Viridiplantae; Streptophyta; Magnoliopsida; Poales; Poaceae
Description: partial small subunit ribosomal RNA
Source: RNAcentral
AUGGAUGCAGCAAGUUACUCAUAUACUGAACAUGGUUCUCAAGUUGCAAUGGAUGAGUUAAAGAGAGAGUGUGAAGCAACUUGGGUGUGGCUUAGAAAAAUACCCAAACACACUUGGGCCAGACAUGCCAUGGAUUUGAACUGCAAGACAGACUUAGUUGUUAACAAUCUAAGUGAGGUUUUCAAUAGGUGGGUCCUAGAUGUGAGGGCUAAGCCAAUAAGGACCAUGGUUGAUGGAAUUAGGACAAAGUUGAUGGUCAAGUUCAAUGCAAAUAGAAUAAAAACUGAUAUUGUCAAAUGGGAGAUUUGUCCUACAUAUGCAGAGAAACUGGAAGAAGCAAAGAAGUGGUCUAGGAACUGCCAAUCUUUGAUGGUUGGACCACAUCUUUACCAAGUGACAAGUGGAGAGAAAACAUAUGCUGUUAACCUGCAGGAAAACACUUGUGGGUGUAGGAAGUGGGAUAUGACAGCAGUGCCUUGCCAUCAUGCUAUCUCUGCCAUACACAAAGCUAAGCUACAGCCAAAGGACUUUGUUCAUGAUUUUUUCAAAAAACCAAUGUACAAGGCUGCUUACAGUCCCAUAAUCUAUCCAGUACCUGGCCCUGACAUGUGGCCAAGGACAGACAGUAGGGACAUUGAGCCUCCAGCCUUCAAAUAA